CUACUGUAUGUGUGUGUAUAUAUAUAUAUAUAUAUAUAUAUAUAUAUAUAUAUAUAUAUAUAUAUAUAUAUAUAUAUAUAUAUAUAUAUAUAGUGUCACGGGUCUGUUCUGUGUCUCCCUGGGUGGCCACUAGAGGUCUCACUUCCCCUGAUUGUCACCCCCUUCUGAACUACAUUUCCCACUAGCCUUAUCUGUUCAUCACUGUUCAUUGUGUUCAGCUGUCACCACUUACCUUGUUUGCACCUGUCUUUAAAUACCCUGGUUGUUUCUGUCAUUGUUACGGAGUCCUUGUUGCCUGUCACCCUGCUUUUUCCUGGUUCCCUAGUGGAUGUUCGUGUUUCGUGUUUUGGACUGUUUAAUGUCACCCUGGUUUCGUGUUUCCUUGCUUUGUUUGUGUUUCUUGUUUUGGACGGAUUACCUGGAUGUUGACCUUUGCCUGGAUGUUUUCUGAUUUUGGAUUGCCUCAAUAAAACACUGCACUUGGAUCUACCUGUCUGUGUGCGUUUCGUGACAUAUAUAUACCGUGUGUACACAUUUUAUUAUUCUUUUUUUUUUUUUUAAGCAAUCCAAAUUUAUUGAGUUUAAAUAGGAAGCCAUGCAAUGAUCCUUGUUGACCAAUGUGUUUGUAUUUGUGCAGGAUGAUCUCGGAAUUUCAUAAGACUCAAUCUGCAUUAAUAAAUCUGUCUUUUUAGGUGUGUUGUAUUGGCCCUCAGUAUCACUUUAGAGUCCAACAGUUCAGAGUGCGGCAGACUCUAAAGGCUGUUGAUCCGUUUGGAAAUUUUCUUCGCGGACUUCAGCUUAAUGUUGUUCCAAGGGUUCCAUACGCUGUUCCAGGUCCUCUCUCCCUGUGGCACAUAGAUGGUAACCAUAAACUGAUACGCUGGAGAAUUGUUAUAUAGAGGCUGUGUUUGGAUUUUCUGUCGAGAUUUUAAUAAACGUUGAUAUGGUUGGUCAGUACUGCUCGAUCAAGAACUGCCACAGCAGGUCACACGAUCGUUCAGGGAGGAAACUGAACAACGGAAUACGUUUUUUUCAGCUUUCCUUCCUGGAAAAAACAACAAGGGAAGCAGGUGCAGGAGCUGACAAAAAGACGCCGAAUCAAGUGGGUUGCCGCAAUCAGGAGAGAAAAAUUUUACUUUUCAAAACAUUCCUGCAUCAGCGAGAGUGUGUUCGCUGCAUUUUCAGUCUUGUUUUUAUGCUAACACUGUCAAACAAACUUGUAAAUGUAAAUUAUGUAUUUCAAUGAAAAAAAAAUGUAAACGUAAAUUAUUGAUUGUAAAUUAUGUAUUCAUUAAUUUCUAAUCAACAUAACCACAUGAAUUACAAAAAUAAAUCUGCCCACCACAAGCAAAAUAAAACUGGG
Cyprinus carpio carpio is the source of this 1363-nucleotide long non-coding RNA. Lineage: Eukaryota; Metazoa; Chordata; Actinopteri; Cypriniformes; Cyprinidae. The record is from Ensembl.